RNAcentral lists this long non-coding RNA (221 nucleotides) under Salvia miltiorrhiza (redroot sage). RNAcentral's name for it is "long non-coding RNA (SMIL_LNC009079)". Lineage: Eukaryota; Viridiplantae; Streptophyta; Magnoliopsida; Lamiales; Lamiaceae. The record is from RNAcentral.
CAAGUUCUUCACCAAAACUCAAACUUUCUCUCUCUAGUCUUGAAGCCUUCCUUCAAGGAUUCUCUUGAAUUCAAGUUAAUAGGAUGUGUUUAUGGAGGAUUUAAGUAGUGAUUUAUGUGUUUGGCAUACUUGGGUGAAGCUUCGAAGGUUUCAUCAAUGGCUAACAAUGGAGGAAAGUGAAGUGAGAGAUGAGGGAGAGGGAGAGAGAUCGAAAAUGGGGU